AGCUCAGUUGGUAGAGCACAUCACUUUUAAUGAUGGGGUCCUGGGUUCGAGCCC
Molecule: transfer RNA, 54 nt
Filed under: Flavobacterium psychrophilum
Lineage: Bacteria; Pseudomonadati; Bacteroidota; Flavobacteriia; Flavobacteriales; Flavobacteriaceae
Description: tRNA-Lys
Rfam family: tRNA
About the family: Transfer RNA (tRNA) molecules are approximately 80 nucleotides in length.
Source: RNAcentral